RNAcentral lists this ribosomal RNA (469 nucleotides) under uncultured bacterium. RNAcentral describes it as "partial 16S ribosomal RNA". It matches the Rfam family "Bacterial small subunit ribosomal RNA", at positions 28 to 507 of the family's 1533-position model. The record is from RNAcentral.
GACGAACGCUGGCGGCGUGCUUAACACAUGCAAGUCGAACGGAAAGGCCCUGCUUUUGUGGGGUGCUCGAGUGGCGAACGGGUGAGUAACACGUGAGUAACCUGCCCUUGACUUUGGGAUAACUUCAGGAAACUGGGGCUAAUACCGGAUAGGAGCUCCUGCUGCAUGGUGGGGGUUGGAAAGUUUCGGCGGUUGGGGAUGGACUCGCGGCUUAUCAGCUUGUUGGUGGGGUAGUGGCUUACCAAGGCUUUGACGGGUAGCCGGCCUGAGAGGGUGACCGGCCACAUUGGGACUGAGAUACGGCCCAGACUCCUACGGGAGGCAGCAGUGGGGAAAUAUUGCACAAUGGGCGGAAGCCUGAUGCAGCAACGCCGCGUGCGGGAUGACGGCCUUCGGGUUGUAAACCGCUUUCGCCUGUGACGAAGCGUGAGUGACGGUAAUGGGUAAAGAAGCACCGGCUAACUACGUG